AUGAACGCUGGCGGCGUGCUUAACACAUGCAAGUCGAGCGGAAAGGCCCUUUCGGGGGUACUCGAGCGGCGAACGGGUGAGUAACACGUGGGUAAUCUGCCUUGCACUCUGGGAUAGCCUUGGGAAACUGAGAUUAAUACCGGAUAUGACAUGUGCCUGCAUGGGUGUGUGUGGAAAGUUUUUUCGGUGCAAGAUGUGCUCGCGGCCUAUCAGCUUGUUGGUGAGGUAAUGGCUCACCAAGGCUUCGACGGGUAGCCGGCCUGAGAGGGUGACCGGCCACACUGGGACUGAGACACGGCCCAGACUCCUACGGGAGGCAGCAGUGGGGAAUAUUGGACAAUGGGCGGAAGCCUGAUCCAGCAACGCCGCGUGAGGGAUGAAGGCCUUCGGGUUGUAAACCUCUUUCAGCACAGACGAAGCUGAUCCUUUUUGGGGUGGGUGACGGUAUGUGCAGAAGAAGGACCGGCCAACUACGU
RNAcentral lists this ribosomal RNA (476 nucleotides) under uncultured bacterium. RNAcentral's name for it is "bacterial SSU rRNA". It matches the Rfam family "Bacterial small subunit ribosomal RNA", at positions 29 to 506 of the family's 1533-position model. The record is from RNAcentral.